Molecule: ribosomal RNA, 402 nt
Filed under: uncultured bacterium
Lineage: Bacteria
Description: bacterial SSU rRNA
Rfam family: Bacterial small subunit ribosomal RNA
Source: RNAcentral
UGGGGAAUAUUGCACAAUGGGCGCAAGCCUGAUGCAGCAACGCCGCGUGAGGGACGACGGCCUUCGGGUUGUAAACCUCUUUUGGCCGGGAAGAAGCGAAAGUGACGGUACCUGCAGAAAACGCACCGGCUAACUACGUGCCAGCAGCCGCGGUGAUACGUAGGGUGCAUGCGUUGUCCGGAAUUAUUGGGCGUAAAGAGCUCGUAGGCGGUUUGUCGCGUCUGCUGUGAAAACCCGAGGCUCAACCUCGGGCCUGCAGUGGGUACGGGCAAACUAGAGUGCGGUAGGGGAGAUUGGAAUUCCUGGUGUAGCGGUGGAAUGCGCAGAUAUCAGGAGGAACACCGAUGGCGAAGGCAGAUCUCUGGGCCGUAACUGACGCUGAGGAGCGAAAGCAUGGUGAGC